AUAUUAAAUCAUUUCUGGCAUCAUGCAGUGGAAAUAAUCUUUUAAGUCACUCCAUCACUCUACUAAAACACUGAACUGAGCAAAUAUGCAGAGUUCUGAUUCGAAAGAAGGAACCAGAACAAAAACCUCAAGGACCACCAAAACCAGUUCUGGAAUCACCUGAUGGCAGCCCUAAUCAUCUCAGUGUCUCCAGGAGGAAAGAAGAAUGCAAGACUAUCAAUCCUGAUCUUUACCUAUAGCCCUAUUCUCCAAUCUGAAACCAUAAGACACCUUCCUAUUUCCCAGGAAAUAGUUAGCCUACUGUG
Molecule: non-coding RNA, 305 nt
Organism: Odocoileus virginianus texanus
Lineage: Eukaryota; Metazoa; Chordata; Mammalia; Artiodactyla; Cervidae
Source: RefSeq, a predicted model, not a curated record